RNAcentral lists this long non-coding RNA (1243 nucleotides) under Theobroma cacao (cacao). RNAcentral's name for it is "long non-coding RNA (TCAC_LNC003100)". The record is from RNAcentral. Lineage: Eukaryota; Viridiplantae; Streptophyta; Magnoliopsida; Malvales; Malvaceae.
GAAAAACUAGAACAAACCCUAGAUAAGAGAAUUCAAGAAAAAUUAUGGAAAUUUCAAGUAAUCAAGCAAAAUAAGGUAUGAUUUUUCAAUUUUUGCUUGAGAUCUAGCAUACCCAUGCUUUAUUUUCUUAUUUCCAUGGCUGAAAAUUGAGUUGGCAUGAUGAAACCCAUGAAGGCUGAAUUCUAGAGAGAAAGAGAGUUUGGUGAUGGUUUGGUUGGAUUUAAGUUAUAUGGAUGUUUUCAAUGAUUUAUGGUGUUUAGUGUAAAAAUCAAGCUUGAAAAUCACCCAUUCCUUAUGUGUUCUUCAUUGGCCAAAUUUUCUAGGGAGGAUAUUGUGGCUGAAAUUGAUGAUAUUUCAUGAUAUUUUGGUGAUAGUUGAUGUUUGGUGAGGCUAGAAAUUAAAUGGGAAAUUUUGGUGUGAAGAUCUGAAUUUUUGCUCAACGUAUAGACAUGUAUGAUUAUUGACCCGAGACUGAUAAAUUGAAUCUCAUUCACAGUCAUUGAGGUAAUUUAGGUCUAAUUAGAGUGUAAAAAGUGAAAAGAAUUGAUUUGGAGUUAAAUUGGAGAUUUUAGCCGAUUAGAUCGAGUAUAGUGUGACUUAGGUCAAAUAUCACAUUUAAGUGAUUAAUCAGACAUUUUGCAUCCCAUCGCAUGCAUUCAUUUAGAUUUAGAAAGCCUGAAAUAGUUUAUGACAAAUUGACACAAAUUAUUGAAUUUUGUGUCAUGUGUGAUGUAUAGGUGGUGAGCUAUUUGAUAAGGAUAAAGAGAUUACACCAAAGAUCGGGACAAGGAGUAUUUCUACUCCUAAUACUGUGAGUAACCUUACUAUCGUCUUAAAUAUCUAGAGUAGUUUUUAUUCGUUUUUGUGAUUUUAUAGAAAAAUGAGUUUAAAUGGUAAAUCCUUAUGUUUUAUAAGUAAAAUGUGUUUAAAUAAAAUGAUUUUAUAAAUUGUCUUGAAAUUGAAUUAUGGUUUUGAAAAUAAAGUAAUUGGAGACCACUUGAUGUGUUGUAAAUUUAUGGUUUUAAAUUAAAUGGCUUAUGACAAUAAAUGAGCAUGAAUGGCUAAACUAAUUUUUGGUGUUAGAAUUAUUUGUACUGUGUAUUCAGCUUGGAGAGGCUAGGUUGCGAUAAAUUGCCAUGUCAUGCAGAUAAAGAUUUUAUAAAUCAGGUGGUAGAUAAAAUAAUCCAUAAUUCCUGCAGAGGAGGUUCUGUGGACCAGCCUAAGAGAGGGGGCACAGAAUCAG